Molecule: ribosomal RNA, 468 nt
Filed under: uncultured bacterium
Lineage: Bacteria
Description: partial 16S ribosomal RNA
Rfam family: Bacterial small subunit ribosomal RNA
Source: RNAcentral
GACGAACGCUGGCGGCGUGCUUAACACAUGCAAGUCGAACGGAAAGGCCCUGCUUUUGUGGGGUGCUCGAGUGGCGAACGGGUGAGUAACACGUGAGUAACCUGCCCUUGACUUUGGGAUAACUUCAGGAAACUGGGGCUAAUACCGGAUAGGAGCUCCUGCUGCAUGGUGGGGGUUGGAAAGUUUCGGCGGUUGGGGAUGGACUCGCGGCUUAUCAGCUUGUUGGUGGGGUAGUGGCUUACCAAGGCUUUGACGGGUAGCCGGCCUGAGAGGGUGACCGGGCACAUGGGGACUGAGGGACGGCCCAGACUGCUACGGGAGGCAGCAGUGGGGAAUAUUGCACAAUGAGCGGGAGCCUGAUGAAGCGACGCCGCGGGCGGGAUGACGGCCUUCGGGUUGUAAACCGCUUUCGCCUGUGACGAAGCGUGAGUGACGGUAAUGAGUAAAGAAGCACCGGCUAACUACGUG